GGCUCGUAGCGUCGUCGCUCGUCGUAGUCGCUACUGAUCUCGUGUCAGCACUGAGGCAGUAGAACUGAUCUGUACGUGAUGCCAAUCAGAGAACCGAUGCAGCAGUUUGCGUACGACUAGACGUACCUCGACUACGACUAGUCUGUAGUCAUGCGUACGUCGAACUAGUUCGACAUCACGAUCGCGCACUACGCAUCAGUAUCGCUGGAGUACGCGAGCUACUCGAUGUAUGACUGGCGACAGCGCGAGCAUGCGAUAUCGAUGCACGCGAGACUACAGCUGACAUGUCUCGAUCGCGUAGAGAUACGUUGCUUGAGCGGAUCACAGAUGUGCAUGUGUCGUCAGCUCGUGUCGUGAGAUGUGAUGAGUCCGCACGAGCGCACCUCGUCAUGUGCAGCACGUAUGAUAGACUCAUGAGAGACUGCCGCAGUCACUCGAGGAAGGUGGUACGACGUCAUAUCAUCAUGCACCUUAUGUCUUGGCUUCACGCAUGCUACAAUGGCCGGUACAAUGGGUUGCGAUACUGUGAGGUGGAGCUAAUCCCAUAAAGCCGGUCUCAGUUCGGAUUGGGUCUGCAACUCGACCCCAUGAAGUCGGAGUCGCUAGUAAUCGCAGAUCAGCAACGCUGCGGUAAAUACGUUCCCGGGCCUUGUACACACCGCCCCUCCCUCUCGAAGUCUGUAACACCGUAAACACUGACCUGUCCGCGUGUCUUGCAAGCGUGAAGC
RNAcentral lists this ribosomal RNA (728 nucleotides) under Micrococcus luteus. Its description in RNAcentral is "partial 16S ribosomal RNA". The stretch from base 231 to 656 matches the Rfam family "Bacterial small subunit ribosomal RNA", at positions 911 to 1387 of the family's 1533-position model. Lineage: Bacteria; Bacillati; Actinomycetota; Actinomycetes; Micrococcales; Micrococcaceae. The record is from RNAcentral.